This is a long non-coding RNA of Lolium rigidum, 1888 nucleotides long. RefSeq lists it as uncharacterized. The transcript has 4 exons. Lineage: Eukaryota; Viridiplantae; Streptophyta; Magnoliopsida; Poales; Poaceae. The record is from RefSeq and is a predicted model, not a curated record.
UGAAGACGACAUCAUUGCGCGUCUUCCAAAGCCUCCACAUGGUGAGGAUCAGGAUUGAUUUGGCUCCGCUUUGGGUGUCGGGGGAAGCAUUGGCCACCGCUGUUUCAAACCAGGAGUUGAAGUCAUCGUCGCGACAUGGGAUGCAGGUUGUAAUGUUCAGCUGGGAGCAGACGUCAAACCAAAUUUGCUGUGAGAAAGAGCACUGGAUCAUUAGAUGAGCAAUGGAUUCAGACUCUUGGUCACAAAGGGCACAUGUGUCGUCAGUGGACAGGCCAUGGCGCAUACGUCGCUCGGAGUCCAGCAGCGGUCAAGAGAGGCGAGCCAGGCAAACACUUUGCAUCUGAGAGGCGCCCAACAUUUCCAGACGGACUCAUGAUGCGGAUGCUUUGUCAUGCCCUCGAAAAGGGCUGAGUAUGCAGAUUUGGCUGUGUACUUCCCUGAAGUGGAGAAGUUCCAGGAGAAGGAAUCCUCGGUUUCAUGUUGAGUAGAUAGCAGUUCAGCCAGGUCUAGGAACUGAUCAAGAGCAUCGGCAGAGAGCGCACCGGAUAUGUCGUUGACCCAAGCAUUUUGGGGAAGGGCAGAGGCUACCUUUCUACUGCGGACAGCCCACCGGUUGACUGCAGCAACGAUGUCGGGAGCAAGGUCACUAAUGCUUUGUCCCUCAAUCCAACGAUCAGACCAAAAGAGGACAUUGGUACCAUUUCCUAGAUGAACUUUGGUAGCAGCGUGGACGAGGGCGUCGACGUGUUUGUUUGUUUUGAUAGGAAAGUUCCUCCAGGGCUUCGAAGCGUCAGUUCGCUUGAGCCACGACCAUCUGGCUCUGAGUGCCCAGCCCAUGCGUUUGAUGUCCAGCACGCCGAGACCACCAAACUCGGUGGGGCGGCAAACCUCGUUCCAAGCAACAGCACAACUGCCACCGCCGUUAUCUCGACCUGAAGCCCAGAAGAACGACCUCUGACAUUUGAUAAUGACUUCUUUGAUGGGUUUGGGGACACCAGUAGCAAGCAGGAUGUGAAUGGGUGUUGCGACGAGGACAGAUUUGAUGAGCACCAGGCGAUCACCUUUGGAUAGGAGCCCAGCGCGCCAUCCAGAAAGCUUGUCAUGCAGGCUGUCAAUUAAGGGCUGUAAAUCAUGCACACGCAGCUUCCAGAUUGACAGAGGGACUCCCAGGUUCACGUGUGGAGUAAUUUGCCGACAGACUCAGUUAUAGUGAAGCGGGAGUAUUACUAGCUUGGAUGAAAGGUUUGUCAGUCUGCAUUAUUUAUGGAGCAGGGCUCAUCCCGGCUCAACAUCUUGCCAUCAUCACCUGUUGCUGCGUCUCAGCCGUUGAACUGAUCCGAUGACUUCCUUGAUUUCAAGCUUGCAUGCUGAUGCACCAGAAGAGAAUAUUAAUGGGAAGCAUGAACCUGUGGUUGCUAACCCGUCAAAAGAGUCGACCCAUUCACCAAAGCCCCUGCUCAUCCCACUUAUGUCAGUUCUAUGAAGAAGCCCCUUGGUGCAAACAAGAUUGGUGACAAAGUGGCCCAUCCCAUUCUUGCUUUGAAUAUGUUGAGAAUGAGGAAUCAACUUAUGCAAAAACUGGUGGAGCUCACAUAAGUACAUGACUGGUCAUGUAAAAGCACUGAAAACCUCAAAUUUCUUUCAAGGGUAUGGAAUGGAUAAUGGGUUCCAAAGAAAAACAAGCACGGCAGCCUCAAAGGCUCAGAUAGAGGAGUCAGAUGAAGCAAGGAAACAAUGCUCUAAUGCGAAAAGAAUUUCAUCAUCACAAUUUUUCUGUAAUACAGACAAACAGAGAGCAGAAAGAGGCCAAACAAUCUCUUCAAAAGUUCUCGGUGCGUAAUAGUGUAAUAUUCCCUCCUUUUGCAAAUAAGUGUCAGAAAUAGUCUAA